CUUCAGGGCUCGCUCCAAAGCCCAUCAUGUCCAUGGAGACUUUCAAUUGACUUCAAUGGGCUUUGGAUCAGGCCCUU
This 77-nucleotide microRNA precursor is filed under the name Pelodiscus sinensis (Chinese soft-shelled turtle). RNAcentral's name for it is "miRNA (ENSPSIG00000019807.1)". The record is from RNAcentral. Lineage: Eukaryota; Metazoa; Chordata; Testudines; Trionychidae.